RNAcentral lists this ribosomal RNA (253 nucleotides) under uncultured bacterium. RNAcentral's name for it is "partial 16S ribosomal RNA". It matches the Rfam family "Bacterial small subunit ribosomal RNA", at positions 524 to 776 of the family's 1533-position model. The record is from RNAcentral.
UACGUAGGGUGCAAGCGUUAAUCGGAAUCACUGGGCGUAAAGCGUGCGCAGGCGGUGAUGUAAGACAGUUGUGAAAUCCCCGGGCUCAACCUGGGAACUGCAUCUGUGACUGCAUCGCUGGAGUGCGGCAGAGGGGGAUGGAAUUCCGCGUGUAGCAGUGAAAUGCGUAGAUAUGCGGAGGAACACCGAUGGCGAAGGCAAUCCCCUGGGCCUGCACUGACGCUCAUGCACGAAAGCGUGGGGAGCAAACAGG